AUUGAAUAUUGUUUGUCCAGAAUAUCAGUAUGAGCACCAUUGUUAUUGUAACACAACUGAAUAUGAUGCCAUGUUCAGCAAGAAGUUUUGCAGAGAAAAACCUAUGAUAUUUCUAAAUGCUUCUAUUACAGCAGCCAGCAGUUUGGUAGCACUGUUGUACUUGAUUAUGUCCUUAAUGAAACCCCACAAAGCAUUAUCUGGAACACACAAAUCAGGACUCUAUGAUGGACAGGCCAGGGGAGCUUGUGCUUCCUCCAAUCUGUAUCUAGCUGAUUUGUUUGAAAAAAUUCCUAAACUCUGAUAGCAAAAUGUGCAGGGACUCUAUCUUGUAGCAGGAUUAUGGCAGCUGCUAUUUCAAUUGCCA
RNAcentral lists this long non-coding RNA (364 nucleotides) under Androctonus crassicauda. Lineage: Eukaryota; Metazoa; Arthropoda; Arachnida; Scorpiones; Buthidae. The record is from RNAcentral.